GUUGAUAGGUCAAUUGGUUAGAGUGUGGUGAUGAUGAUGCCAAGGUUGCAGGUUCGAUCCCCGUAAGGGACA
Molecule: non-coding RNA, 72 nt
Organism: Podarcis lilfordi (Lilford's wall lizard)
Lineage: Eukaryota; Metazoa; Chordata; Lepidosauria; Squamata; Lacertidae
Source: the annotation of a GenBank genome assembly